AUGUAUGAGGUGAACAUUCCUGUGCCGCCGAUCUAUCAUGAGGCUGAAAUUCAGAUGUGCCAUGGUGAUCAAGCUAAACCCUUAUUUCGGGUGGUCUUUGGGCGCUGUUUCCCUGCUGAACGAUCUUUUAAGCUUCAGCCAUCUUUAGUAAGAGGUGGUUGCUACUCUUAUGUUAUUAUGCUAGCAUUGCUUUAUUCUCUUGCCCAUAGCAAAGCCACAUGCCAGCUGGAGAGAUUGUGUGAUCUUCCUUCGCCAGGUGCUCAACAAGUUGCCUGGUAUGGUUAUUGUGGCUUUGCUAAUUAUGCUUCUUCCAAAUCAAGGUGCAAAUCUAGCAAUAUUCUCUUCACGUACCGAGUCACAUCCCAGCUGGAGGGAUACUGUUCUUUUAGAAGUUUUGCGUGA
RNAcentral lists this ribosomal RNA (402 nucleotides) under Triticum aestivum (bread wheat). RNAcentral's name for it is "partial small subunit ribosomal RNA". The record is from RNAcentral. Lineage: Eukaryota; Viridiplantae; Streptophyta; Magnoliopsida; Poales; Poaceae.